UGUUGUUUUUCUCCUGUCUGGCAGGUUACUUGAUUGGAUUGCCUGGGGAGCCUGGCCAGUCUUUUGUAAUGAUAAAUACUUAGUUCCUGGGCCAGGUCACAGGCUCACACCCUAUUCAUAUACAGACAUACCCUUAAGACAGGAUUUGUGAAGGAAAAGACAAUGGGGAGGAUUUUCCUUUGACCUUGCAGAGAAAUCAUUUGGUCAGUUUGGGAAUCAAAAUGGUUCCAGGUCGGUCUUCCUGUGCUGAUCUAUGUAUGUGCUUGGUUGAUACGCUUAUGAACAUUACCAUAUAUCUAAGACCUCAAAAUUCCUAUCACAACCCACUGGUUAAGAUAAAGUUGCCCCUCACCUUUAGCACUGCAGCAAUGCAUCUCUCCCAAUUAGGGCUACGAUUUAUAUUUCAUAAGAAGAAAAUCUAUUCUUUUUAAAAAAAAAACCAAAAAGCACACCGUCAGUGCUAACUGCUGAAGCAGAACUUAAAAACGAAACGAAAACGACAAAGUGGAAAUCCCCCAAACACAGUUUGCCACCUGUUUUACAGGCUAUGCCUUUAGCAGCAGCUUCAACCUUAGCAAGUAACCAAAAGAUGGGGAACCCUCCAGAUGUCAUUGAACUCCCAUCAGCCCUGGCCAUUGUCUAAGGAUGACAGGAACGGGAGCCCAGCCACAUCUGGGGAGCCUCAGGUUUCCUGCCCCUGAAAUAAACCUUUCCCACUAUUUUAUUCCCAUAUCAAGAACAGCCUUGCCUGUUUAAUUUCUGUGUGCCAAGCUGCUGUUAAAAGGCACAGGGGCAGAAGAGGGUGGUCAGGUGUAAAAAGCUGGGAUUUCAACAGGUGAACUUUGCAUGACAAGCAACACCUGUUUAAAUUCCCUUUUCUACACCAAUUAUUAAAUGUUCAGGAGCCCUGUCAUUCAUAGAUACAUAGAUAGAUAGAUGAUAGAUAGAUAGAUAGAUAGAUAGAUAGAUAGAUAGAUAGAUAGAUAUGUACAGACACACACCCACAUAUCUUAUUCAUCCACCCUAGGGGCAGAGGAAGAAAAUGAAAAUGGCAACCCUAGCGAUGACUGUUCAUCAUGAUGAUGAUGAUAAUGAUGAUUUAUUAGUAAUACCCCGCCACUCUGGGUGGCUCCCAACAGAAUAAAAAAGUGAUAAAUUAUCAAACAUUAAAUACUUCCCUAAACAGGGCUGCCUCCAGAUGUCUUCUAAAAGUCAGAUAGUUGUUUAUUUCCUUGACAUCUGAUGGGAGGGCGUUUCACAGGGUGGGCGCCACUACCGAGAAGGCCCUCUGCCUGGUUCCCGGCAACCUCACUUCUUGCAAAGAGGGAACCACCAGAAGGCCCUCAGAGUUGGACCUCAGUGUCCAGGCUGAACGAUAGGGUGGAGACGCUCCUUCAGGUAUACUGGGCCCAGGCCGUUUAAGGCUUUAAAGGAUAGCACCAACACUUUGAAUUAUGCUCGGAAACGUACUGAUAUUCUUGUAUCUGAGGCAGUCCUUAAUGCCCAAUCACUUUCUAAAAUACUCAAAAUGCUAGACAUAAUUUCAAAAGUAGUAGUGAUAUAAUGCUCUCUUUUUUAGUCAGCCUGUUACCACUCCUUGCCAAGUGGGAGAAUGGGAAGUCUCAAGUGAGAUGGCUCAAUUAAACCUCCAUGUUCAGAGGCAGUUUGCCAUUGAAGACAAAAGGUUGGGAACAGCGACACACCCUGUUUGUGAGUUCCCCAAAGGCACCUCUCUGGCCACAGGCAGGGCAGAACGAAUGCUUGGCUAAAGGAGCUUUUGAUCUGACCAGAAGCGCCUUUCUCGUAUUCCUAAGGACAAUGUCAGGUUAUGUCUUUCGUUAUCAUUUUGAUAUUUGGUAUCUGAUUCAACCUGUCUUCUGCUCUUGUGCUUUCAUCUGCUGAGCAAAGGUUUCCCUGAUGUGAUGGAGGGAUGAGGAAUUCCUUGUGGCUGAAGCAUCUGAUCUGUUGAGCAGCUGUUAAAAUGGUGAGGGUCCCUGGUAGGAUGGAGGGGGGAGGGGGAGGUUGCAAUUUGCCUGAUUUGCCUCUGAUUUGCCUAAUUGGAGCCCUGGAUAUUGUUGUAAACCAAAAUUGCCCUUUUCCCUUAUGGGGUAUCCAAGAGCCCAUAUAGGUUCCCUAUUGGUAGGAGAGAAUAACAGAGGCCAACCAGAGAAUAUUGAGAAGCAAAGCAGCUAGUAAGCUUGAUCUUUAUUGAUCUAUUGCAACAGGGUGCUCCCCUCACCCGCAGGAGAGGAGGAGGACCCAGAAAAAUGGCAUGCAAGGCCUUAUAAAGACUUUUGAAAUUGCCACCCUGUAGAUCAAGACCAACCCCAGAAACAUCAUACAUACAUCACAGAAGGGGUGUAACCUAAGACCACCCCUCAGAAACAUCACACCUACAUCACAGAAAUAAAACAGAAAUUUGAAUAUUGUUUUUCUCCUGUUGUUGUUUAUCUCCUGUCUGGCAGGUUACUUGAUUGGAUUGCCUGGGGAGCCUGGCCAUUCUUUUGUAGUGAUAAAUACUUAGUUCCUGGGCCAGGUCACAGGCUCACACCCUAUUCAAACACAGACAUACCCUUAAGACAGGAUUUGUGAAGGAAAAGACAAUGGGGAGGCUUUUCCACUUUGACCUUGCAGAGAAAACAUUUGCUCAGUUUAGGAAUCAAAAUGGCUUCAGGUCGGUCUUCCUGUGCUGAUCUAUGUACGUGCGGUUAUGAACAUUACCAUAUAUCUAAGACCUCAAAAUUCCUAUCACAAUA
Molecule: non-coding RNA, 2756 nt
Organism: Podarcis lilfordi (Lilford's wall lizard)
Lineage: Eukaryota; Metazoa; Chordata; Lepidosauria; Squamata; Lacertidae
Source: the annotation of a GenBank genome assembly